UCCUAAAGCCUGUGUCAUAUUAAAACACAGUAACUAUAAAUAAAAUAAAGAAAAUUAAAUGAAAUAAAGUAAGUAUUAUCAUUAACUAUAUGUGUAAAAAGAAGAAGAAGAAGAAGAAGAAGAAGAAGAAGAGAGGAGGUAGAGGACCUUUCAUCUGAAUAAAUGAUGAAAGAGAGAAAGAGAGAGAGGUCCCCCAUUAG
Molecule: long non-coding RNA, 200 nt
Filed under: Citrus sinensis (sweet orange)
Lineage: Eukaryota; Viridiplantae; Streptophyta; Magnoliopsida; Sapindales; Rutaceae
Description: long non-coding RNA (CSIN_LNC004136)
Source: RNAcentral